AUCCUGCUCCAUGGUCCUGGAAUAUGUAUUCCAUUUUGUGUGUCUUCACCAUAUAAAGUAGUAGGCAGUGCAUGAAUGGAUUUGCAAGUUGCAGAUGUCCUCAGAAAAGUGUGAAGAAAACUGGACUACCCAGUAAGAGAAACUGUGAAACCACCAAAACCACAUUCUACUCUGUACAAACAGCAGUGUCAACAAGAACUCAGCCCAUGCCAUCCCAGGAAGAACAGCAGAAUAAGGAAACAUGGAGUGGACGGAUAGUGUGCUUCUUUGCCACGUAGUCACAUAAAACAUUCACUAGUAACCACUGAACAAAAUAACCACAAUGUUAAACAACAGAGAAAAAACCAACCCAUUGUAGUAUAUAAUAUAUAGUGUAUAACAC
Molecule: long non-coding RNA, 382 nt
Organism: Cryptotermes secundus
Lineage: Eukaryota; Metazoa; Arthropoda; Insecta; Blattodea; Kalotermitidae
Exons: 2
Source: RefSeq, a predicted model, not a curated record